GUAGUUGAAAUAGAUAAGUCUUGAGUCAAUCAGUACAUCUGUACCACAUUCAUGUGGCAAAUGCUGCUUUAUGGAGAUGUUUCUAAUACUGACCUACAAUAAUUCAGCCAAGAUCACGUUUCUACUGUCUUCAGGAAAUGAGAAAAAUGAAUCCAGGAAAUUUCCAUCUUUAACUAUACUCUGUAAAUGUGCUGUCCAAUACACAGAUAGCUACUGAGCACUGGAAUAUAGCUAGUCUGAAUGGAGAUGUUCUAAGGACGUGUUUGCUUCCCCUUCUGCCGUGACUGUAAGUUUCCUGAGGCCUCCCCAGCCCUGCAGAACUGUGAGUCAAUUAAACCUUUCCUUUAUAAACUACGCAGUUUCAGGUAUGUCCUUAACAGUAGCAUGAAAAUGAACUAAUACACUACUAUAGUAUACCUGGUCUACCCUGAUUAAUGCAGUGACCUUAGGGAAAUUGUCAAUUUUUUAAAUCAAGGGCAAUAGCACUACCAGGUUUUAGAUGGUUACACUAAGGACUUUAUGGGAAGCCAGAAUAAAUGAUGAUAACCUACAUCUGUUAUCUGGUCAUGGCUUGGUUCUGUGUCAAUGAGUUUAGGUUUGGAGUGAACUAUCCCAUGUGUCAGGGUGAUCUUAAAUAUAUUGCAUUGAUUUUUUAGUCAAUUUUAUUGAGGUAUAAUCCACAUACAGUAAAAUUCACCAUUUUUUAAACAUGUAGCUUUAUAAAUCUUGAUGAAUGUAGAUAUUUGUAUAACUACUACUAUCAUCAAGAUAUACAUAGAAUAUUUUCAUCGCUCCAAAAAUGUCCUCUAUCCUUCUUUGUAACACAGCCUCUUCCCCCAUCCCCAACUCCCUGACAAUCACGUCUUGGAUCUAUGUCCCUUUAAAUUUGCUUUUCUCAGAUAAUCAUGUAACUGGAAUCACAUGGCAUAUAAGCUUUUGUGUCUGGCUUUCUUCAGUUAGCAUGAUGUUUUUGAGAUUCAUCCAUGUUGUUGCAUCAAUUGUUCAUCUAGUUUUGCUUUUGAGUAGCACUUUGUUUUAUGGAAUUAUCACAAUUUGUUUAUCCAUUCACUCCAUCACUAAUGAUGAACAUUUGUAUUGUUUUCAGUUUGAGGCAAUUAUGAGUAAAAAUGCUGUGAACAUUCACAUAGAGGUUUUUGUGAGGACAUGGGUUUUCAUUACUCUUGGGUAAAUACUUAGAUGAGCUAUUGAUUGAUCAUAUGGUAAGUGUAUACUUAUUUUUCAAAAUUAUGUUUCAAAGUGAUGGUAACAUUUGCAUUACUACUAGAAAAAUGUAUGAGUUCUAGAUGUUCCACACCUUUACCAGUACUUUGUAUUUUCAGCUUUUAAAGUUUUAUCCACUCUCUAGUAUAAGUGUGGUAAUAUCUUACUUUGAUUUUAAUUGGGAUUCCCCUAAUGACUCGUGGUAUUGAGUAUCUUUUCAUGUGCUUACUUACCUCUUGGAUUUCUUCCUUGGUGAGUUGUUUAUUCAAGUUCUUUGUUAAUUUUUUCAUAUUUGGUUUUGUGUCUUCUUUUAUUAUUCAGUUACAGAUAGUCCAGAUAUUUUAGUUUAUAUGUUUUAAACAUAACUCCCUUUUAAUGUGUAUAAAGUAAACACUGCAUCAUGUUUUAAAUUCGACAAACUCAGCCAAAUGGGAGAAUAUUGAAAGGCAGUGGUACAGUACAGGCCUGAGAAAGAAUUGAAGAUCAUUUUACCCCUUUCCCUUCCCAGAGCCUUGGAAAGAAGAACCACGCAGAGAGACAACAUAUGUAACCUCAUGCUUUUUAUGUACAAGUGGUGGAAUUUUUCCAUUCUCCAUUUUCUUUCUUCUCUAUCUUCCUGUAUCUUUGUCACCAUGUUAAGGUAACAUCCAGCCACAUGCCCCAAAUCUUCAAUACGUUAUGCCAAUUCAGGGUGACUUAAAGAUGCUUUGUAAAUGCUCUUUUGCAAAAAAGUAUGAUUAAAGGAUUUCAGCGUAUUCUCUCACUGGGACAUCUUAUGUUAUUCUGAAAUGAAGAGUUUACUAAAAUUAUAUUUGAUCAUGAUGAAUCUUUUUAAAACCACUUAAGGAAACAGGAAGAAUUUCUUAUAUUCUGGAAAUUUUGUCUGUGAUAAUAAUUGUCAUGGAUUGUUGUCCUUAGAAUCAAGGGGGUUCAUCACAAAACAACUUUUUAUGGUAAUGAGGAAGCAGAUCAUUCAAGUUUGUUUUUCCUCCUCAAGAAUUCUUUGUAAAUGUGUUUGGAAAAGUUUGGUAGCCUUAUUUUCUAUAUUAAUUUUUGAAUAUUUAAAAUAAAUUGUUUCUAGGUUUGAAAAUUAUCACCUGCCUGAGGCAAAUAACUAACUAAACAAAGGAGUUCUAAUACUUGAAUUGUAAUUUCCCACAUAAUAUACGUAUUUUUGCUCAAUCUCUCUUGGGUUAGGAAGAGCUGAACUCAGAAGUUUGUUUCCUUCUGUCAUCAAUAAUAUUUAUAAUAGUUCAAUUACAUUUCAUCUAUUAUUUAUGAGUAUUGAGAGAUAAAAAGAUUUUUCCUACAUUGGAGUAGAUAAGUAUGUCAUGAUUAAGAAAUUAAUCACUUAAGCACCAACUUAAAAAUUGAUUCAAAAAAUAUUGUGAAUUAAAAAAAUAAAUACUGUGUGGUCAAGACUAUCCCAGGGAAAGUAUUCAUUUUAUGCAAUUUGAAUAUCAUCAGCCCCUUAGUGAAAACCUGCUUCUAUGAGGGAGCAUUACGUUGUUUUUCACCAUGCUUGAUUUAUGUCACACAAAAUAAUCCUCCUCCUCUUUCUAUUAUCUGUCCAAUGAUAACUUUAAAUUCUUUACUCUGGGCUAACCAAAUUUUUAUCUAUUGUCAUGUAUUAUUAUGUAGUCUCAAUAUGACUUAAUAUAUAAUGGAAGUAAAUAUGAUUGAAACAGAACUUGUAAAAUGCAGCAGAAAGAUAUGGACCCCAAAGGCCAUAAAGACAAACUAGGAGACUGAAAAGUGCAGCUUGCCAAAAGUCUUUGGAGUCAAAUGUUUUAUUUCUUAACGUGAAGUCUUUAGGGAAUUGGAUCAAAUCAAAUAAAAAGAGACAUGAGAAAAGUGAAACAAUCACAGAAAUAAUCAUUUAUUGAACAUCUACUACAUACUAGACUCUACUCUUCAUGCUUUAUGUGCAUUAACUUGUAAUCUUUACAGCAACUUAAUGAGGUUGUUACUAUUAUUAGACCAAUUUUACAGAGUAGAAAACCAAGGUCACACAGUUGAUAACUGACAGAGUCACAAUUGCAUCCUAGCAGUUGAGCUACUAAGCCCAUGGUUUUAUUCAGUAUGCUAUGCUACCUCUCAAUUCAGUUAAUUAAUAGCUCAAAAAGAUCUUCUCUCAUAAUAAAUUAUUAUAAUUGUUAUUUGAAAUUAGUAUUGUUAGCUAUAACUGGAAAAAAAUCUGAUUUCUGUUUUCAAAGAAUGUUUAGCUAAUGGGUUAUCUAUAGAUUGGAUCUGUAAAAUAAUGCAAUUUAUUUUCUUAAAAGUAGCAACAUUUAUAAAUCCAAAUGCUUAUUGUCCUUCUCAGAGCGGUUACCUUGGGAGACCUUAUAUUUAUGUCAAAGAAGCUAUCAUUACUCAAAAUAUUUUUGCUUUGUCUUUUUAAAUUGUCUUGGAAAACUGGGAAUCUUAAAAAUAUUUCUGUUGGUAGUAACAUUAAACUUUUAUUUUAUUUUAUUAUCAUCUUAUUUUUUAAAUUAAUUUAUUUAUUUUUGAAAUGGAAUCUCACUCUGUUGCCCAGGCUAGAGUUCAGUGGCAUGAUCUCCACUCACUGCAACCUCUGCCGCCUGGGUUCAAGCAAUUCUCAUGCCUCAGCCUCCCAAGUAGCUGGGAUUACAGGUGCUCACCACCACGCCCAGCUAAUUUUUGUAUUUUUAAUAGAGAGAGGGUUUCACCUUGUUGGCUAGGCUGGUCUUGAACUCCUGACCUCAAGUGAUCCACCCACUUCAGCCUCCCAAAGUGUUGGGAUUACAGGCUUGAGCCACUGUGCCCGGCCAUAUUAAACUUUUAAAUGUGGAUUUGAAUGUUGGAAACAAGUUUUGUAGAUAAAAAUCCAGUUAACCAAAAUUAGAUGUAAUUCUAAACAAAAAUGAGUUCUUGUUGAGACUCAGGAUGGCCUUUAUUUCAGGUCUACAACAUUUAAAAUGGUUGGAGAAUGGGGCAAUGACAGUUUUGGAGUUUACUAAAUUGUCUAGCUUACUAAGGUGUCUACAACCUUGAAGCAACAACUUUUGUUAGUGUAAGCUCUGAUAUGUUUUAUUAAAACAGACAAUAUUAAUAGCUCAUAGAUCUGUGCCUAAUAUCUUGCUUUAACUCAUAAGUGGGUUGGAUGUUUCUGAAUUAAUAACAGAACCAUUGUUUGAGUGUUCCAUGUUGAUCCUAAUG
Molecule: long non-coding RNA, 4401 nt
Organism: Homo sapiens (human)
Lineage: Eukaryota; Metazoa; Chordata; Mammalia; Primates; Hominidae
Source: Ensembl